GUACGGGAGGCAGCAGUGGGGAAUUUUGCGCAAUGGGCGAAAGCCUGACGCAGCAACGCCGCGUGAGGGACGAAGGCCUUCGGGUUGUAAACCUCUUUUAAUCGGGAAGAACCCCUCCCUUGCAAAUAGUGGGGGAGGCUGACGGUACCGAUAGAAUAAGCCACGGCUAACUCUGUGCCAGCAGCCGCGGUAAGACAGAGGUGGCGAGCGUUGUUCGGAUUUAUUGGGCGUAAAGAGCGCGUAGGCGGUCCUGUAAGUCGGUGGUGAAAUCCCGGGGCUUAACCCCGGAAUUGCCCUCGAUACUGCUGGACUUGAGUGCGGGAGAGGAUAGUGGAAUUCCUAGUGUAGAGGUGAAAUUCGUAGAUAUUAGGAAGAACACCAGUGGCGAAGGCAGCUAUCUGGACCGCAACUGACGCUGAGGCGCGAAAGCGUGGGGAGCAAACAGGAUUAGAUACCCGUGUAGUCCU
Molecule: ribosomal RNA, 467 nt
Filed under: uncultured bacterium
Lineage: Bacteria
Description: bacterial SSU rRNA
Rfam family: Bacterial small subunit ribosomal RNA
Source: RNAcentral